Molecule: long non-coding RNA, 5539 nt
Organism: Acinonyx jubatus (cheetah)
Lineage: Eukaryota; Metazoa; Chordata; Mammalia; Carnivora; Felidae
Exons: 8
Source: RefSeq, a predicted model, not a curated record
CCGGCGUCAGCGCUGCCCGGACAGGCCAUCGGAGCUUCCGCGGCGCCGAUGCGGGCCGGCUCUUCCAGGGCGAGAGGAAGCCCGCCGUGGCCUUGACCGGCAGGCACGUUUCUCGGGAGGAUGAGGACGAAAGGCCGCCGGCCCCAGCCCGACGUUUUGCCGGUCAGGGUAACAGGUUACACUUCGAGCAGUUCGGAGGUUUCCAAUCGGUGGAAGCGCUGAGAAAGGGGUGCUCGGAAUGAAGAGCAAUCUUGCCCUCACGCGCACUGUGAGUGGUCUUCGUCCAAGCCAGGCUGUGUCCACAAGCUUCCAGCUGACAUUUGGAAGAAAGAUACGCUUCUUCUGAGCUGAUUUUGGAGAGUUCUACAAAUACUCCUCAUGGCCCCGUUCUCGGACCUCUGACCCCACUCCCACGUGAGGGCCAGGACGGAUCAGCGCAGCCCUGUGUGUGGUUCAUGUCUUCCAAGGUUCACAUCAGCUCCUCCAAGAGCUUCAUACCUCCAUGACGACGAAUGUCACUUGGACAUAAAGGGGGUGUGGUUCCGGUGACCAAGAGAGGUCUCCAUGACUUCCCCAUCCUUGAAGGCAGGACCACCGGCUGUCCAGGCGAGUGAAGGGCUGAACAUACAAAGGCCAGAUCACCUGCGACCGGAUCACAACAGAACCCCUACAGCCAUCAGCUUCGACCAUGCCCACCCAGGACCUGCUUUCAGCUCGGGACCAGCAGCCCAGUCUGCUCCCCAGACCAGUACACAGGUGCCCCUCCGGCUGACCGCGCUGGCGUCCGAGUACCCACACCUUGUACUGGCAGCUCUCCAUCCCUGCCUGCCUCUGAGGCUCUGCUGAACCAGCGACGGGGCUGCACCCCGCCAAGAUCACCCCGCAGCCUUCACUUGCUCUGUCUGGGUGGUCCCCUGUCCACCACACAAGGAGUAAGAUGGACGCCUGUGAGUAAAGCCUCUUUCUGCCCAGGUUCAAUGUCCGGUUCCUCUGGGGGUCACCUGGGUCAGGUGGUUCCAUGCCCCUCCCAGCAGCGGUCACAGCCAGGCCUCCCCUCCACUCUUGGAAAACACAACAGAGGCCUCUUUUGGGGCCCAGCCACCAAGCGAGGCCUGAAGAUCCCACAGAAAGAUGGGACGUAAAUAGGCAAAACAACUCCCAGGAUUUGCUUGCCCCAGGGGGAGAAAAAAAAAAAAAAAUCCUCCGCACAAACUGCAAGACAAAAGCCCAAUCCUCCAGCAGGCCUUUCCCAGAACUGCCACCUGGCACCCUCCCACACACACCCUGGCCCGGGGCCAGGCCCAGGUGCCGGCCGGCAGGGUGCUGGGGCAGCCUGUGGGAGCCAGAGCCUCUGCGAAUCCUGAUCACGGCUGCCCCAGCACACUUGGCCCCGGGAACUCACUCGCCACCCAGGCGCCAGCCGGACCGAGAACGUCAGGGUUUUCCUCCCGGAUCUGGGAGCUGCUUGAGCUGAAACCUGGAACCCACCCACCUCACCCCAACAGCCUGUGAUCCGUCCCACCACCCUCAUCAAGGACCUCGAAAGCGGCUGGUAAGAAAUGGGGGUGGUGGGCCCUGGAGGCCAGUGGGGUGACCCUGAGUCUGCUGCACCUGCGAACCACCUGGGGAGAUUUCGGAACUCCAGGGCCCAGCUCGAACCCAGACUCAGUAGAUGGUCGGCUCUCUGGGAGGGCUGGGCCCACAGCACGCGGGAGGGCAAGGGUCAAAGGGUAGGGGUCGGCAUGCUGGCGUCACCUGGCAGUUUUAAAAACUUCUGCACAUCUGUUCACUCCCAGAGAUCCUGAUCACAGUCUGGGAUGAGACCCUGAUGGUCUCAGAUUGAAAGGCGCCUACACAGCAGAAUCACCUGGGGGAGCUUCCCAAACAACCUUCGGUAUCUGGGCUCCACUCUCAACGACUUGGGUUUCAUGCAGGGCAGCGGCCCUCAAACCCAGGCUGCACCCAGCAGCCUUCCUGGAGGCGGGGCCCAGUGCCCCCAACACUGAGACCCAGAGGACCCCGUGACCCGGGACCCCCAGGAUCCCUGACAUCCUUUCAGGAUCGCUGUUAGCUCACAAGGCUUUCCUUUACAACACCCAGAUGCAAUCCGCCUCUGCCUACUUCACACCCCACUUUCUCAAGGGUUUCUCAGAGCCCUCGGCAGAGGGGAGCCCCACCCCUGCUCUUCCCGCCUCCUCUGGCAUCCUCCCUGAGUAAAUUUUCUGGCUGUGACAAUAUGGUUGCUUAUCUUGAAAAAUAAGUUUCGGUUUACACGUAAUGGGUUUAUUAUGGUUUUUUUUUUUUUAAUUAGUAAAUAUUUGAAGAUUUCUCUUCAUUGCUAACAUGGUAACUGUUUGGCAGAUGCAACUCUCAGAUCACCAGUUCAGGCUCUACCCCUUGCCAGAGCUGUAACCUGUCACCAAACCUCCGUCAUCAUUGUCCCAGCCCAGCUAAAGGGCAUAAUUAACGCCUACUCACAGGGGAACCGAGAGGCUUAACGCAAAGCGGGUUGUUAAGCCCGAGCUAGAACAGGCGCUUAGUACAAGGUUCCUUGCCUCCCUCGCCCUCCCGUCAGGGAGCAACCGGUCUGUAGUCACCUGGAUUCUGGGCUCAGGGAUCUGGGUUCGUCGAGCCAGUUCUUCUCUGGCAGUGAUAUCAGGGUAUGAGUCCCUCUCGAAGGCCUCGAUGAGCACCUGGUACUGGGUCUUGCUGAACUUGGUCCUUUUGCGUCUCCGACCUCCCUGGGGCGCUGGGACAGAUUCGCACCCAGAAAGAGGAGGUGUUAGUCUGACCCCAUGUUUAGGUCCGUUUUGAGACUCGCUCCCCGUCCAAGUCAGCGUGCAGCCUCCCCAAGACGAGGUGUCUGCCUGCAGACACGGGACUCCGGCGCCUCUGAAAAAGCCUCCCAGUCGUCCCGAGCUGCUGCCCCUGGCUGGUGCCCUAGGCGGACAUGCUGGGGACCCUCCCUGAGCUCCCGCACCGACGGCUGCACCUGCUCUCCCCACAUGAGCUGACCCCCCCACCCCGCCCCCAAUCCCCAGCUGCGGGCUGCGGGCUGUGAGGGCAUCUCGGAGGGCUCGGCCGCUCCGGGGUGGGCACGACUGGGUCUCCCAGCCUCCAACUGCCCACUACCUCUGCUUGUGCCCAAGACACACGAGUGGGGAGAGAGGCCAAAAACCACAAGAUAAGGAGACUUCGUGUGCAAAAGCCCAGCCCAGGGGAUUUCUGUCUGUCAACACGGGUUUUUUUCCCCUGUGACCUGGGGAAGAUUGCUGGUCCCCAACCCCGGGCCGGGCAGAGCGGGCUCCCCUCUGACGGGAUUCAGGUCGACACAGAAUCCGCUGUGGAGAAAAGCCCGCAGAAUACACGGCCCGGGGGAAGCCGGGCUCCCUUCCCUCCUGUCCUCCUCAGGCCCCACAGUGCCAGCCAGCAGCCCCCACCAGAGGGGACUUGUGGACUGAAAAAUGGUGUCGCCCGUGCUCCUCAAGGGGGCCUUUCCGGGUUUGGUCCGGGGUGUUGGUCUCUCCUCCCAGGUCCCCAAACCAGAUGUCACGGUGAGCAACGCCUGAGACCUGCCUGGACCCCACUGCCCGGCCUCUCCGGCCACCACCCCCACCCCCAGGACCCCCCUCUAGGACUCACGGUCUGAAGACAUGACCAAGCUGGAGACUGAAGCAGGUCAGAGGGAUCUCGAGCAGAGGUCAGGCCCGGGCCCGCGACAGACGCAGCCCUGGAUUCAAGCCAGCCUUGGCCCUGACCUGUGGCCAGGCCCCUCCCCUGCCACAGGCCGUGAGGGCGUUUCUGUCCGGCAACCCACACGUGGCGACUCCAAGCUGGGAUGUGCCGUGAGCGGAAGGGAGCCCCGGACAGUGGAUACUGAAGCUGCCGGCAGACCUCGCCGCUGUGUGGGCAGAGCUGGGGAGCCAGCCCCGGCCCUGGGACAGCUGCCUGUCUGCGUUUCCACGGCAACGCACGGAGGGAUGCCAAGCCUCCUGCCUUUACAGACAAAUGCUUAUGUCCUCUAUCUUUUUCCCAAAUCACCCCCCAAAACAGUUGACGAUUCUUGACCUCUGCCCCUUCCCCACCUCUCUGGAAGAGAGGGCCCAGGACACCUGCGGAGUUGAUUGCUGCCCAGGUGCACAGGUAGCGCUCCCAGAGGGAGACGCAUUUUGGAGACUGAGGACUGUGCCCUUGGUGGAGACAGGGCCGGCUCUCCCCUCGCCUUUGUCCAGCGAACUGCCCUGCCUAAGGACAGAGCGUGGCUUUGAUGGGACACUUUGCUGUCUGAGCCUCGGUGUCUGUAACAGUGAAACUCUAAAAGCUUUUGAAAUGCAAACGGACUGGCCCUGGCCCACUUGGAGCACCACCCAAGGAUUUCAUGGCUCCAGGCAGGAGGGAUACACUAGUCCCAAUGUUGGCUGAGCCUUUUCUCCAAGUUUCUAUUCCUAGGAGGUUAUAACUAUGAGUCAGAAAAUUACCAUAAAUUACCCUGGGGCUGGGGCUGGGGGGUAGGCUGAAGGCCAGGGGGGGGUUGGGAAAUCACUUCCCCAAGGGGACCACUCCCACCACUGGCAGAGCCCAGAGCCAACAUUGGAACCUGAACUUGAGAGUCCAGACUUUGGGGGGUGGGGUGCUGCUGGUCAUGAUCAAGCUUCUGUCACUUGAAAACGGCAGCGGUCUGGGGUCAGGACACAGACAACAACACAGAGACACAGUCCCUUCCUCCACAUCCUAAUUUUGUUAGUUCCAUUAGGAAAAUAUGUCAUACAAAUGAAGUUAAAACCCAACAAUAAUCCCAGUUUUUGAAAUGGUAUAAAACUGGGGCGCCUGAGUGGCUGAGUUUGGUUAAGCGUCUGAUUUAGGCUCAGAUUAUGAUCUCAAGGUUCGUGGGCUCAAGCCCCGCAUCGGGCUCUCUGCUGUCAGCGCAGAGCCUGCUUGGAUCCUCUGUCCCUCUCUUUCUCUGUCCCUCCCCCGCUCAUGCUCUCCCUCAGAAAUAAAAUAAGUAUUUUUAAAAAAUGGUAUAAAAUUAGAGUAAAACAUCUUCCAGGUCUCCAUGGCCCCUGACGCCCGCCCCUGCGAUGGCAACCCCAGGAGAAACGUUUACUUUGUCCCGCUGCAUUUUCCUUGUGUUUCUACAUAUAGUAUCUCAUUUAUUUACAAACAACGUGAGCAAGCUACAUCUGUGAGGCACUUCCUGCGGCAGGCCCCAGUGCAGCUGACCAGGGUUCACUCGCCCUCCAAUCAUCCUGCCUCCACCGAUAGGCGUGUCCUUUCUCUCCUGUAUUUUGGAGUCCGGUGGAUGUCCCUGCGGGGACAGAUGAGCAUUGACGAGACUCAUCUCGGGCGGGGAGAGGGGAGGGGGCAGGGCGCUGCCUCAGCCCAGCAGGACUGCCACAUGUGGGGCGGCCUGGCCUCCGGGGAAGAUGCCAAGCCCGGGCUGAGCCUUCCAGGAGGAAGGGGGUCUCAUUUACCCGUAGCCUCCACCUGGAAGGAGCUGUUUGAUUCUGUCAGAGAGGAGGGAUUGCCUGUGGGUAAGGAC